This 274-nucleotide ribosomal RNA is filed under the name uncultured bacterium. Its description in RNAcentral is "partial 16S ribosomal RNA". It matches the Rfam family "Bacterial small subunit ribosomal RNA", at positions 523 to 796 of the family's 1533-position model. The record is from RNAcentral.
AUACGGGGGGUGCAAGCGUUAUUCGGAAUCACUGGGCGUAAAGGGCGCGCAGGCGGUUUGGUAAGUCAGAUGUGAAAGCCCGGGGCUCAACCCCGGAAGUGCAUUUGAUACUGCCUGACUUGAGUAUGGGAGAGGGAAGUGGAAUUCCUGGUGUAGAGGUGAAAUUCGUAGAUAUCAGGAGGAACACCGGUGGCGAAGGCGACUUCCUGGACCAAUACUGACGCUGAGGCGCGAAGGCGUGGGGAGCAAACAGGAUUAGAAACCCUAGUAGUCC